RNAcentral lists this unclassified non-coding RNA (19 nucleotides) under Mus musculus (house mouse). RNAcentral describes it as "oocyte_clustered_small_RNA6622". The record is from RNAcentral. Lineage: Eukaryota; Metazoa; Chordata; Mammalia; Rodentia; Muridae.
AUGAUUUGUGAUUUGAUAG